Molecule: ribosomal RNA, 103 nt
Filed under: Orobdella esulcata
Lineage: Eukaryota; Metazoa; Annelida; Clitellata; Hirudinida; Orobdellidae
Description: partial 16S ribosomal RNA
Source: RNAcentral
UAUUCUACAAUUUAUAUAACUUUAAAUUAUAAAUAUAAGAAAUUACAUAAAUACUAUUAAAUAUAGCAAUAGAAAUAAAUAUAAUAAUAAAAAGUAAAUAUAU